RNAcentral lists this ribosomal RNA (468 nucleotides) under uncultured bacterium. RNAcentral's name for it is "partial 16S ribosomal RNA". It matches the Rfam family "Bacterial small subunit ribosomal RNA", at positions 28 to 507 of the family's 1533-position model. The record is from RNAcentral.
GACGAACGCUGGCGGCGUGCUUAACACAUGCAAGUCGAACGGAAAGGCCCUGCUUUUGUGGGGUGCUCGAGUGGCGAACGGGUGAGUAACACGUGAGUAACCUGCCCUUGACUUUGGGAUAACUUAAGGAAACUGGGGCUAAUACCGGAUAGGACCUCCUGCGGCAUGGUGGGGGUUGGAAAGUUUCGGCGGUGGGGGAUGGACUCGCGGCUUAUCAGCUUGUGGGUGGGGUAGUGGCUUACCAAGGCUUUGACGGGUAGCCGGCCUGAGAGGGUGACCGGCCACAUUGGGACUGAGAUACGGCCCAGACUCCUACGGGAGGCAGCAGUGGGGAAUAUUGCACAAUGGGCGGAAGCCUGAUGCAGCAACGCCGCGUGCGGGAUGACGGCCUUCGGGUUGUAAACCGCUUUCGCCUGUGACGAAGCGUGAGUGACGGUAAUGGGUAAAGAAGCACCGGCUAACUACGUG